GCACGCUGGCGGCGUGCCUAAUACAUGCAAGUCGAGCGGACGAUUCGAAAGCUUGCUUUUGAAUCGUUAGCGGCGGACGGGUGAGUAACACGUGGGCAACCUGCCCUGUAGACGGGGAUAACACCGAGAAAUCGGUGCUAAUACCGGAUAACACGAAAUGUCGCAUGACGUUUCGUUGAAAGACGGCGCAAGCUGCCGCUACAGGAUGGGCCCGCGGCGCAUUAGCUAGUUGGUGAGGUAACGGCUCACCAAGGCGACGAUGCGUAGCCGACCUGAGAGGGUGAUCGGCCACACUGGGACUGAGACACGGCCCAGACUCCUACGGGAGGCAGCAGUAGGGAAUCUUCCGCAAUGGACGAAAGUCUGACGGAGCAACGCCGCGUGAGCGAAGAAGGCCUUCGGGUCGUAAAGCUCUGUUGUUAGGGAAGAACAAGUAACGUAGUAACUGGCGUUACUAUGACGGUACCUAACGAGAAAGCCACGGCUAACUACGUGCCAGCAGCCGCGGU
Molecule: ribosomal RNA, 509 nt
Filed under: Bacillaceae bacterium LBD1
Lineage: Bacteria; Bacillati; Bacillota; Bacilli; Caryophanales; Bacillaceae
Description: bacterial SSU rRNA
Rfam family: Bacterial small subunit ribosomal RNA
Source: RNAcentral